This is a small nucleolar RNA of Gossypium arboreum, 147 nucleotides long. It matches the Rfam family "small nucleolar RNA snoR137". NCBI's taxonomy places the organism in Eukaryota, Viridiplantae, Streptophyta, Magnoliopsida, Malvales, Malvaceae. The record is from Rfam.
AUUGCUUCUUACUGGUGAACGCUCUCAGAUUUAACAAUGAGAGAUGUUCAUAUUUCCGAAGCAUAAAUUAAGUAAUUUAUAGCCAGUUUUAAACAGCGCUGUGCAUUUUCUUAUAUUGCACUGUGCUACCUGUCUCCUGGUAUAUUU